Molecule: ribosomal RNA, 246 nt
Filed under: uncultured bacterium
Lineage: Bacteria
Description: partial 16S ribosomal RNA
Rfam family: Bacterial small subunit ribosomal RNA
Source: RNAcentral
GGGCGGUAAAGACGCAUGCAGGUGGUUUGUUAAGUUACAGGAUGUGAAAAGCCCCGGGGCUCAACCUGGGAAUUGCAUUUGAAACUGGCAAACUAGAGUACUGUAGAGGGGGGUAGGAAUUUCAGGUGUAGCGGUGAAAUGCGUAGAGAUCUGAAGGAAUACCGGUGGCGAAGGCGGCCCCCUGGACAGAUACUGACACUCAGAUGCGAAAGCGUGGGGAGCAAACAGGAUUAGAUACCCUGGUAG